Molecule: ribosomal RNA, 125 nt
Filed under: Microbacterium sp. SYP-A9085
Lineage: Bacteria; Bacillati; Actinomycetota; Actinomycetes; Micrococcales; Microbacteriaceae
Description: partial 16S ribosomal RNA
Rfam family: Bacterial small subunit ribosomal RNA
Source: RNAcentral
UUUUACGGAGAGUUUGAUCCUGGCUCAGGAUGAACGCUGGCGGCGUGCUUAACACAUGCAAGUCGAACGAUGAACCUGGGUGCUUGCAUCUGGGGGAUUAGUGGCGAACGGGUGAGUAACACGUG